CAGCGCCACGAGUGGCAAUCAUUUUUAUUUGGCCUAAAGCGUCCGUAGCUGGUUUAAUAAAUCUCUUGUGAAAUCGUUUCGCUUAACGAAACGGCAUGCAGGAGAGACUGUUAGGCUCGGGACCGGGAGGAGUCAGAGAUAUGCCGGGGGGAGCGGUAAAAUGCUAUAAUCCCCGGUAGAUCACCUGUGGCGAAGGCGGUCUACCAGAACACGUCCGACGGUGAGGGAUGAAAGCUGGGGGAGCAAACCGGAUUAGAUACCCGAGUAGUCC
RNAcentral lists this ribosomal RNA (271 nucleotides) under uncultured archaeon. Its description in RNAcentral is "partial 16S ribosomal RNA". It matches the Rfam family "Archaeal small subunit ribosomal RNA", at positions 477 to 747 of the family's 1478-position model. The record is from RNAcentral.